Molecule: long non-coding RNA, 921 nt
Filed under: Ursus americanus (American black bear)
Lineage: Eukaryota; Metazoa; Chordata; Mammalia; Carnivora; Ursidae
Description: lncRNA (ENSUAMG00000008663.1)
Rfam family: small Cajal body-specific RNA 17 (bases 136-247)
Source: RNAcentral
UGCGGCUGCACGGAGGGGCAGAGGCCCAGGCCGCUGGGCCUGAGAGGGGCGUCGGGACUUGGUGCGGGUUGCGGGUGGGGAUGGGCGUCCGAGGGAUGUAGCGAGUGUCGGGGGACAGGGAGUCCCCGAGUCCCCAGUGUAGCCCCCAGAUGAGCUCGCAGUAUUUUCCUUAUAUGAUCGGGCCCCGUUGCUGGCGGCGCCGCUGGCCCGGAGCCUGAGAGGAUUAUAAAAACGUUUCAGGAAGCCUCCAAGUAUUACCAUGUCAUCGAGCAUCCAGGCUUUUGGUUGCUACAGCUGUAGGCAUCAUGUCUGCACCAAACCAUGUUCAGAUGGGGGAAGUUUCUAUCUUGGAAAGCAGGCUCUGCCAGUAAGGAUGAAAGCUGGAGAAAAGGCUGUUGAGUCGGCGGCCAUCAGUGCCAGGCACAACGGCCUUUAUAAACAAUUACACAGACUGUCAUGUAACCUACACUCUCUCAUAUUGCAUACUGACAUCUCUAAAUUGCUUCGAUGAACUUGGACUUGUCUAUCUUCGCUCAUAAUUGAGAAAUUGGAGCUCUGGCCUUUUGUACUACCUGUCAAUCAAAAGUUCUACUCUAGCGGUGUCCUCUCAUUGGAUGAACGGCACUGUGCAAUUGCUCAGAUUUACUACGAAAUUUAAUGUUGAUAUUAAUUUAAAACAAGUAGCAAAUAGAAAAAUUAAAAUGCUGCUCAUUGGGUAUAGUGCCUAGCACACAGGAGGUACUCAAUAAUUAUUUGUGGCAUUAAGCAAUGCUACUCAUAAAAUUAAAGCCAAAAUAGAAUUGUUUUGGUGAGCCAAAACAUGUAUUUUAUCUCAAGUUGGCGCUUAAUGAACUUAAGCCAAACUGUGUGUUUUGUAAUGGAGAAAAUAAAAACCAGAAAGAGAAUGUAAAGUGAAUUAUG